Molecule: long non-coding RNA, 574 nt
Organism: Cucumis sativus (cucumber)
Lineage: Eukaryota; Viridiplantae; Streptophyta; Magnoliopsida; Cucurbitales; Cucurbitaceae
Exons: 3
Source: RefSeq, a predicted model, not a curated record
AAAACGGUGUAUUUAAUAAGCUUUUCCCCUAAGAACUUAAGUUAGGAAUUCUUUAGAAACAUCCAUGGCUGCCUAAUUAGAGAGAGAAAAUUUAGAAAGAGAAACCCCAAAAAACUUUGAAAAAAAAAAAAAAGGAAAAAACAAAGUUAGGAAUAUCUUUUUCACCAAACAGAAACCUCCAUGGCUGCCUAAACACAAAGACAAAGAAGACAAAUAGAAGCCAAAAUGAUGAAGCAAUCUUUGUUAUUUUCUGAGAAUCUAACACCCCCUAAGUUUGAAGUGAUUGUUAUAAAUGCAAAUAUGAGUUGCAAUGGUUGUCGCCAAAGAGUUUCUCAAAUUGUCUCUAAAAUGUCAGAAUUAGCGGAGUUGACUAUAGAUGUGACAAAAAAACAAGUGAUUGUUAAAGGAAAUGUCAAAUGCCAAAGCAAGAAUCAAGAAAAUACUAUUCAUUCCCAAAUGAACAACUGCGAUUCUUUAAAAUCCCCCUCCCCCCACUUUUCAAAUAGUUGCUUUUAAAUUUAUUCUUUUCAAAUAUAUAUACUAUUCUAUAUAUACAGCUUUUAUUUGUGUAUCA